AGGUUUUCGGAUCGUAAAGCUCUGUUGCCAGGGAAGAACGCUUGGGAGAGUAACUGCUCUCAAGGUGACGGUACCUGAGAAGAAAGCCCCGGCUAACUACGUGCCAGCAGCCGCGGUAAUACGUAGGGGGCAAGCGUUGUCCGGAAUUAUUGGGCGUAAAGCGCGCGCAGGCGGUCAUUUAAGUCUGGUGUUUAAUCCCGGGGCUCAACCCCGGAUCGCACUGGAAACUGGGUGACUUGAGUGCAGAAGAGGAGAGUGGAAUUCCACGUGUAGCGGUGAAAUGCGUAGAUAUGUGGAGGAACACCAGUGGCGAAGGCGACUCUCUGGGCUGUAACUGACGCUGAGGCGCGAAAGCGUGGGGAGCAAACAGGAUUAGAUACCCUG
Molecule: ribosomal RNA, 384 nt
Filed under: Paenibacillus xylanexedens
Lineage: Bacteria; Bacillati; Bacillota; Bacilli; Caryophanales; Paenibacillaceae
Description: bacterial SSU rRNA
Rfam family: Bacterial small subunit ribosomal RNA
Source: RNAcentral